RNAcentral lists this ribosomal RNA (253 nucleotides) under uncultured bacterium. RNAcentral describes it as "partial 16S ribosomal RNA". It matches the Rfam family "Bacterial small subunit ribosomal RNA", at positions 524 to 776 of the family's 1533-position model. The record is from RNAcentral.
UACGGAGGGUGCAAGCGUUAUCCGGAUUCACUGGGUUUAAAGGGCGCGUAGGCGGCCGAUCAAGUCGGGGGUGAAAGCCUGUGGCUUAACCACAGAAUGGCCUUCGAUACUGUUUGGCUUGAGACCGGAAGAGGUUAGUGGAACUGCGAGUGUAGAGGUGAAAUUCGUAGAUAUUCGCAAGAACACCAGUGGCGAAGGCGGCUCACUGGCCCGAUACUGACGCUGAGGCACGAAAGCGUGGGGAGCAAACAGG